CUAAGUAAUAUCGUGACUAUAGAUAUCUGUUAGGACCACUAUAGUUGAUAUGGUCGUGGUCAUAGAUUGUACCAUGGUUUGGCCAGCCAGAAGUGGGCCUGAGUAAAUUGUUGUAUCUGUAUUUGAUCUGUCAUUCCACUUGGGUAGUUAAAAAUUUGUAUCUGCCCUCAAAGAUAGAAGUUUGUAACGACUUCGCGAAGCAUGACACGGAAUAUCUGUGCAUUUCAUGAUUUAUUUUGUUUUCUCUAUUAUUUGGCAUGAUAUGUGUAUAU
Molecule: long non-coding RNA, 272 nt
Filed under: Carica papaya (papaya)
Lineage: Eukaryota; Viridiplantae; Streptophyta; Magnoliopsida; Brassicales; Caricaceae
Description: long non-coding RNA (CPAP_LNC009016)
Source: RNAcentral